Molecule: long non-coding RNA, 539 nt
Organism: Chrysemys picta bellii (western painted turtle)
Lineage: Eukaryota; Metazoa; Chordata; Testudines; Emydidae
Source: RefSeq, a predicted model, not a curated record
UCUCUGUUCCCAGCUGCAGUAUGAACCUCUCUCCCCCCAAUAACAGGCUGCCCUGCCCUCUGUCCCUCCUCUGGCAGGGCAGCCGGCACUACAGCAAGGAGCUCUGCCUCCAUUGAAGAUGUCCCCCUCUUCAGUCACAGCUGCCAGUGGCCCUGGGAUAGUUUUCAGGAGGGAAGUAGGCCAGGACAUGGCUUCGUUUCAGGGAUGUGGAAAGCAGAGAAGAAUAAAGUAUUCUGAAUGCAAUGCAAAGGCUUUGAAUGGGAAGGAGAACACUUACAAAGCUCAGGAAACAAGACUCCAGCAAGGUCCCGUCACACAGUCUCCCCACAGCUGAUGUGAGUGCCUUCUCCUCUGCAGCUGCUGACAUCUGCAACAGCCUUCCUGCAUUCUUCCAGCUCAUCAGUUCUCCAUCUGUUCUCAAAUGUCUGACCAAUAUGUGGCUUUUCUCCUUUGGUGGCACUGUGUAACUUCUCAAUUGCUUUGCUAAUCUUUAUUAUUUAAUUCUGUGAUGACAUUAUUUAACUCUGUAAAGCAUUAUA